GCAAACUCGUGCAGCAGCGCGGUAAUACGAAGGGUGCGAGGCGUUGUUCGGAAUUACUGGGCGUAAAGGGUUCGUAGCGGGACUUCAAGUCGAAUGUGAAAACCCUGGGCUUAACCUGGGACGUGCAUUCGAAACUGAGGUUCUUGAGUUUUGAGAGGGUGGUGGAAUUGCUGGUGUAGGAGUGACAUCCGUAGAGAUCAGCAGGAGCGCCGGAGGCGAAAGCGACCACCUGGUCAAGGACUGACGCUGAGGAACGAAAGCGUGGGGAGCAAACAGGAUUAGAUACCCUGGUAGUCACGCCGUAAACGAUGGUGACUAGAUGUUGGAGGCGUUUGACCUUUCAGUAUCAAAGUACACACGCUAAGUCAUCCGCCUGGGGAGUACGGCCGCAAGGCUAAAACUCAAAGGAAUUGACGGGGACCCGCACAAGCGGUGGAGUAUGUGGUUUAAUUCGACGCAACGCGAAGAACCUUACCUGGGUUUGACAUGCACGUGAAUACAGCAGAGAUGUUGUAGGCCCGCAAGGGACGCGUGUGCAGGUGCUGCAUGGCUGUCGUCAGCUCGUGUCGUGAGAUGUUGGGUUAAGUCCCGCAACGAGCGCAACCCUUAUCCUUAGUUGCCAGCAUUAAGUUGGGUACUUUAAGGAGACCGCCGGUGAUAAACCGGAGGAAGGUGGGGAUGACGUCAAGUCCUCAUGGCCCUUACGUCCAGGGCGACACGCGUACUACAAUGGCCAAGACAAAGCGAAGCGAUACGGUAACGUGGAGCAAAACGCAAAAACAUGGUCUCAGUUCGGAUUGUGGUCUGCAACUCGACCACAUGAAGUUGGAAUCGCUAGUAAUCGCGGAUCAGCAAGCCGCGGUGAAUACGUUCCCGGGUCUUGUACACACCGCCCGUCAAACCACGAAAGUUGUCUAAACCAGAAGCUGGUGAGGUAACCCGCGGGAGCUAGCCAGCCAAGGUGUAGGCGAUGAUUGGGGUUAAGUCGUAACAAGGUAACCAAUC
Molecule: ribosomal RNA, 1005 nt
Filed under: uncultured bacterium
Lineage: Bacteria
Description: bacterial SSU rRNA
Rfam family: Bacterial small subunit ribosomal RNA
Source: RNAcentral